AUACGGAGGGUGCAAGCGUUACUCGGAAUUACUGGGCGUAAAGCGUACGUAGGCGGUCCGUUAAGUUAGAUGUGAAAGCCCCGGGCUUAACCUGGGUACUGCAUUUAAAACUGGCGAACUAGAGUUGAGUAGAGGGGAGUGGAAUUUCAGGUGUAGCGGUGAAAUGCGUAGAGAUCUGAAGGAACACCAGUGGCGAAGGCGACUCCCUGGACUCGAACUGACGCUGAGGUACGAAAGCGUGGGUAGCAAACGGGAUUAGAAACCCUAGUAGUCC
Molecule: ribosomal RNA, 274 nt
Filed under: uncultured bacterium
Lineage: Bacteria
Description: partial 16S ribosomal RNA
Rfam family: Bacterial small subunit ribosomal RNA
Source: RNAcentral